GCCUAUAUACUUCACUCCUGAAGGGGGGAGAGAGGCAACAGACGUCAUUAGCACGAGCUUAGGUGCUGUGGGGACAAGGAAGAGUAGAUGGAGUCUGAGCAACGACCCUCAAAGAGACAUGGUGUGGGGUACCCAAAGAAUCCAGAAGAAGGCAUC
Long non-coding RNA from Microtus oregoni (creeping vole), 156 nucleotides. RefSeq lists it as uncharacterized. The record is from RefSeq and is a predicted model, not a curated record. Lineage: Eukaryota; Metazoa; Chordata; Mammalia; Rodentia; Cricetidae. The transcript is spliced from 3 exons.